UUUCGUUUAUGAACCGUUUACAGUUGUAGGUGUGCCCAUCGACCGUCACCCUUAUUUAUUUAUAUGAUUAUAAAGAUUACAGUAUAAGUACGUUUUAAUGCUUACUCGGUAAUCUUACAUCUUCAGCAGAUUAUACGAUGCCUUUGCAUGGAAGAAACGAAAGCUGUUCCAAGUCAACUUGAUAGCAGUUCGCAUUUUUCGGGAAGAAGGGACUGGACGAAAAACAAAAUGCACAAGCAAAUUUUAACAUGAACACAUCAAUCACUUAUCAGAAACCAGUUUUUUAUCAACACAUUCAAAGAGAAAUAUGCUGGAAAGCCUUGAGGCAUUUUGUACAUAGCAAUUGUAAAUGAAGGUUUCAUUCUGCACAUUUGGAUAAAAUGUAAGCUUUUCAUUUUUUUUUUUUUUAAGAUGGUUCAAUAGUUAACUCAUUACACCUUCUUAAACACCAUGAUAAUUUAUUAACUGUGUGGUAUUUUUGCCAAGAAUUUCGCCAAACGGAAUGGAUGUGCCUAUCAAACCUUUCAAAUGUGUCUUAUGUGAUCGUGCAUAUGUGAUAGAUGCAUCACUGGCAGCACACAAGAUGAUAGAGCACAAAGAAGAUCCUCCUCAUAAGUGUCCUGUUUGUGGUUUGGCCUUUUUUAAUGCAAGCACAUACUCUACUCAUCUAAUCAAACAUUCUCUGGACAAGGAGAAGGAUUUUGGUUAUGAAUGCUGUGUUUGUUCUGUGGAGUUCCCUUCUUCACAGGGUUUGAGGGUCCAUAUGAGCCAUCACUCUGGUGCAACCAUCAUUAGUAAAGGAAAGCCACCACAGAAAAACCCCAAAUUUUAUAACUGUGACUUGUGUCCUUCUAUGUUUCGUGAUCCACAGCGAUUAGAAGAACACAAGAAAAGCCAUGAUGGAAACAGACCAUAUGAAUGUCAGUUUUGUCACAUUACUUUCAGGCUUGGCAGUCGUCUAAAUGUUCAUGUGCGGCGACAUCAUGUUUCUGAAUAUUUAACUUGGAAACACUACAAGUGCAACUAAUUUUAUUUAAUGAUACAAGUUUUGUAGGACCUUUUUUGACCACAACGUACUGUUAGUGCCCUUUUUCUAAUUAGUUCCUAAACCUUGUUUGUGCAAGUUUCACAUUAUGCAUUUAUCAUUAUUCCUGAGAUUUAUGUAAGGUCUAUGCAUUUAAACAUAUUGUUGGCAGAUAUAAAUUCCUAGUCGACAUCAGAUUCUGGAAUGAGCACAGCAAUCAUGACAAUUUUUGUCUAAACAUGUCAUAGUGAAAUCUCUGGUUUUUGAAGAGUUUGUCCAUGAGGUCUUGUCAGGCAUUUUAGCAUGUAAGACAGUAGUUAGUCAAUAACUUCUGUCUUAAGUCACUAAGCUUAGUUUAUGACUUUUAAUUCAGUUUGUGCAAUGUUCCUUGACCUAGUGACUUAAGUCAUUUUGUGGUGUUUAUCCAUAAUUCUGGCUACCUGCAUCAGUUAUUUUGUAAGUUAUAAAUACAUUUACUUCUGAUUUUUAGCAUUUUACGUUCUCUUUUUUCUUUGAUCUUUGCAUUUAAUAGUGUUACAUUUGUGUGCAGAAGAGGAGCUUGAAACAUGUUCUAUAAUUAUUAGCUUCACCCAAGUUUUAGGCCUUUGCGAUGUAGAGCUAUGCUUUCUAUACACUGAUCACUCGCACAGUUUCCUCUUGCAGUCCUUGAAAUGGCUGGAGCAAUAAUUGCAUCAUCUGCCUUAUGCCCCUAACACUAUUCUGUAUGUUUCCUUUUUAAAUUUAGCUGUCAUUGUCAUUGUCAUGGAAAUGACUAUAGCUUCAUUUUAAAUGAAGUUUUUUUUUUAAGUUUCUUGUUUCAGAAUAACUGGUAUUGCUUGUUUGUUAAAACCUGUUAUCCAAAACAAUAAACUAUGUUUUAAGAGUCA
This is a long non-coding RNA of Pomacea canaliculata, 1911 nucleotides long. RefSeq lists it as uncharacterized. The record is from RefSeq and is a predicted model, not a curated record. The transcript is spliced from 2 exons. Lineage: Eukaryota; Metazoa; Mollusca; Gastropoda; Architaenioglossa; Ampullariidae.